UGGGGGAUAUUGCACAAUGGGCGCAAGCCUGAUGCAGCGACGCCGCGUGGGGGAUGAAGGCCUUCGGGUUGUAUACUUUUUUUGCUCUGAACAAGGCGCACUUUGGGGUGUGUUGAGUGUAGGGGUUGAUUAGCCCCGGCUAACUACGUGCCAGCAGCCGCGGUAAUACGUAGGGCGCGGGGGUUGUCCGGAAUUAUUGGGUGGAAAGGGCUUGUAGGUGGCUGGUUGCGUCUGUCGUGAAAGAUCAUGGCUUAACUGUGGGUUUGCGGUGGGUACGGGCGGGCUGGAGGGCAGUAGGGGAGGCUGGAAGUCCUGGUGUAGCGGUGGAAAGCGGAGAUGUCAGGAGGAAUACCGGUGGCGAAGGCGGGACUCUGGGCUGUUACUGACACUGAGGAGCGAAAGCAUGGGGAGCAAACAGG
This 419-nucleotide ribosomal RNA is filed under the name bacterium. RNAcentral's name for it is "partial 16S ribosomal RNA". It matches the Rfam family "Bacterial small subunit ribosomal RNA", at positions 355 to 776 of the family's 1533-position model. The record is from RNAcentral.